This 315-nucleotide long non-coding RNA is filed under the name Lathyrus oleraceus (garden pea). RNAcentral describes it as "Pisum sativum (pea) long non-coding RNA (PSAT_LNC006223)". Lineage: Eukaryota; Viridiplantae; Streptophyta; Magnoliopsida; Fabales; Fabaceae. The record is from RNAcentral.
AAAUACUUCCUCAGAAAUCUCUCUCUGAACACAGCCCAAGAAAUCUCAGCAUCUCCAGCAGCCUCCAACUCAGUGCGGGUAGCAACCCACCAAUCAUCAGCUUCUUCUGAUAGCAUAUGCGUACCGAACCUGACCUUCUGGUUAUCAGCACACUCAGUUACUCUGAAGAUCCUCUCUAUCUCCUUCAGCCACUUCUGAGCACCAUCUGGAUCGUAUGCUCCCUUAAACAUUGGAGGAUUGUUCUUUUGGAACUCACUCAACUGACGAGCAACUCCCAUUCCCACAACAUUCGGAUUUCCUCCAAGUACUCCAGCC